CCGUCAGCAGAGUAGGGUGACUUCGAGGACAUCGCACGAGCGCCGAGUCGGGUGCGGCCGCUCCCAGUCUCCCACACGUACGCGACCUGCCGAGGAGGAGCCGCCGCACCGCCGGCGCCGUCCCGCCCACGCCCACGCCGAUCGGUCGCUGGGCGCUGGCCUUCGAACUCCGGCCUCCGGACUCCCUCGCGCGGAUAGGGACUACGCCUCCCUCCGGUCCGGUCCCUGACUCCCUGUCUCCCUCGACCCUCGCCGCUCACCCCACCGUCGCCCGUCGGCCUCCCUCGCCCUGCCCGACGCCGUCGGCGGUCGGCCGGCACUGGACAAGUGGACUGCGCCUCCAUGCACCCUACAACUCCCUCCCUGGUGAGUUGAUUUUUUUCUCCCAGAUGUAGAUUAGUAGAUGGCUAUGGCUUUCUGACUUUUUGGUUUAGGGAUUUGAUUUUCUUCUAGAUCUGUGAGACUGUGAGCCUAAGAAUUGAAUCAAUUUAUUAAAUUGUAUUGUCGCAAUUUGCUUAUUUUAUAGUCAUUUUACCGAAUUUUUUCUUUAAAUUUUAUCGUGUUGCGCAUGAAAAAAAAAAAUAGGACUACCCUGGUUUCAAUUUCUGGGUCCGCCACUGCACAAUGCAUGAACAAGCAACAAAUAAAUCCUUAAUUACUAGCUUUUUUUUUGAGACAACAGCCUCUUCAACGGGAUAUCUAAAUAUAGACAUCAUCUGUUCUAGAUUUGUCGCCAGCUAAUGAUGAAGAGCGAAAAUGACUAUCUAGACUCUGUACAAGAUAUAAAAAAGGUGUUGGAGAGUACAAAUAUAUACAAAUGAUUUUUUACUCAAAUGUUAAAUGAUGAUUUAGAGAGUAGAUUUUAUAAAGACUCUUCAAAAAUGCUCUAACUAUUGUCACAGUAGGUCUGUAAGAUACAUUAGGCUUAGCCUUUAUUUGGGGAGCUUAAAUUUAGGGUUUGUAGCAUUGCUGCCUGUCCCUGCGGCCAUGUGUCAUGCUUCCAUGUAAGGGGGUGUUUGGUUGUUAAAUUUUUGUUUUAUUUGACAAUUAUUGUCAAAUCAUGGACUAAUUAGACUUAAAAAUUCAUCUCAUAAAUUACUCUCUAGGCAUAUUUUUAGUUUUGUAAAUGAUCUAUAUUUAGUACUCCAUGUAUGCGUCUAAACAUUUAAUGUGAUGGAAAUUAAAAUUUAACUUUAGAAACCAAACAGGGCCUAAAACAAGAAGCAACAAAGAGAGAUGAGGUGCAAAUGCCUGCCGGCGUGACCUGCUACAACUCUAGUGUGGCAGCACUCGCUCACCCAUGAGCAACGCUAAUAAUAGUGCUGGUUAUAUUAUGUGGAAACUUACAAGUAACUUAUCAAUUAUUAGUUCACUCGUAUAAGAAUAUUUUUUUUUUGGUUUGAUGCAUAAGCUGGUUGUAAGUUUACAAUACGUUUCUCUUCUCUUUUUUCUUCAUCUGAAUAUACGUCCCGCUUACAACUCUUUGUUAUACUUGCUCUUAUGGGAGUUAUAAACACAUGGACAAGAGUGCUAUAUUUUUUUAACAAAGGAAUAGCUCCUUUAUUAUGAGGCCAGGCUUAGGGUAUAUCACAUUGUAACCCACUGGCUUUGCCACUGGUGGUGGGAUUUUGCAAGUGUCAAUUCAAACAUUGUUGCUAGAGGAAAGUUCUACUUUUAAUGAUGUUUGAUUUGGAGCUAGAGUGUCCUCUCCUUAGGAAAUAUUUUUUCUAUAGACAUGGGGUAACUUCGUUCCUAAAAAAAUAGCAGACAAGCUUGUCUCUUCUCUAUGGUACGAAUCUCCGCCGCUCAUCAACUUGUUAGCCUCGCCACGUCGAUCCGUUGGCCCUGUGGGCAUUCACCUAUCUAUUCACUCCGUCAACUAAGCCCGCUGUCUACUAUAUUCUAGGAAGAAAAUAAGGCGCAUGAAAAGAGAAUGGCAUGUGGGGUUAGCGAACGUGGGGCCACCAAUUCCUGAUGCUAUUAGUGUAAAAAACAUCAUUCCUAAAAAAAAGGAUAGAUUUAUUGUGUGUUUGUUUUGGGAACCAAGCGAAACAGGUGGGUUCAAUGCUAUUUUUAGUUGAAUUGAACACAUUUUAGGUUGGGCUAAAGGGAUGGAGUUGUCUUAGUUCUUUUUGUGGUUUUAAGGCAAAUGAAUGUGGACUCAGGACUCUAAUGUGUGAGCCCCAUGUGUCAUCUUAUGUCUCUUCCUUUCUUCCUCUAUAUUUGACGAUGCUAUGUCGCCCACUUUGCUUGCCAUCACCUCGGCACACGAUGCCGCCUAACCACACUGCUCUGCCCACAAGAGCUCUAUAACGUCCCAAGCUUUGCUUGCGAGAGCGCCACCGCACCUUCAAGCUCUAGCUGUGAGAGCUCUCCCCUCCCCCGAUGCCGCACCAUGCUUUGUCGCACCCUCAAGGUCCUCUCGCCAGAGCUCCUUCCCCAAGCAUCGUUAGAGCACCACCCCCAAAUGUCGUUGACCGUGUUCGCGAAGUGAAUUUGUCUGGUUUCUUCAAUUUGGAGGAAUAGAUGAAUAUACAGAUAAUAUUUCCUUUGUAGGAUGAAUAUAACCUAAUGCUCCUCAAACAAAUAUAAAAAAAUAGAUCCAACUCACCCUAAUUCACUUUACCCCUGAACCAAACACAACGCUUCUCUUGUCCAAAACACUAGGGUACAGUUUUUUUUAAAAAAAACACUAGGGCACGACCGUGCCACUCCAAACCAAGCGGACCAAACAAUUGCACUGUCUCGAGAGUGCAAUUUAUACCGUUCCUUACUAGUACUAAUUUUCAAUUUCCACCAGCAAUACAAGACUACAAGGGCAUAUAGGUUAGCUAAUUUCCUAAAAAAAAUAUAGGUUACCUAAUAGCAAAGCUAAACCUAGGCGCUAGAUAGCAAAUCGCUCACACGCAGAUGUGAUGCCUACGGCACGUACUCCAUAUGCUUGCUUUCAAGCAAGCACGUCUGUACUAUACAUGGACACAUACAUGGUUGCUUGCUUGGAAGCAACCGCUGUACCUGUCUCUAUGCAGCUAGCUGCUGCUGAGAGCUACUGCUGCUGCCGUCGUCUUCUGACAGGCAGCAGCUGUGCAGCCUUGGACCGGCAGCAGCAGGAGGAGGACCCUCCAGCUCCAGGUAUAGCAUCUCGGCCCGGAGGACCGCGCAGUAAUGCCCGAACGUCUCCGGCGACACGUUGAGGUCGAACCCGACGGCGAAGAGGAAGUCCACCUCCAGGUAGUUCAUCUCCGCCAGGCUGAUGCCGCCGACCCUGGCGAAGUAGGCGUUGUUGUAGCAUCUGCAAGGUAACGCGUUUGGUAGCCGUCAAUACAGUACAGGCUUGUUUCAGAAUUCAGAAAUCAGGCUAGUGCCUGCCAGCAAUGGGCUGCCCGUCGUCAGACAUGCACGCCAAACCAGAUGGGCCAAACAAACAGCUGCAUCACCAAACCAAUUCUUUUCAGAAUUAUCAAAUGGCGACU
RNAcentral lists this long non-coding RNA (3473 nucleotides) under Sorghum bicolor (sorghum). RNAcentral describes it as "long non-coding RNA (SBIC_LNC011348)". Lineage: Eukaryota; Viridiplantae; Streptophyta; Magnoliopsida; Poales; Poaceae. The record is from RNAcentral.